Trifolium pratense (red clover) is the source of this 1920-nucleotide RNA transcript. RefSeq lists it as uncharacterized. The transcript is spliced from 3 exons. Lineage: Eukaryota; Viridiplantae; Streptophyta; Magnoliopsida; Fabales; Fabaceae. The record is from RefSeq and is a predicted model, not a curated record.
ACACCAAUACAUCUACACUGUUUCUCAACUCCCCACGCGAAUUUCCCAAACCCAAAUCCUUCCUGUUCUUCACGAAUCCCUUUGACAUAAUCGAAGAAGAUAUCAUCGUCUUCCCGGUCAUCGACGACGACAUUUACCAUCACCAUCGUUUUUCUCUUCACAAUCACCCCUUCUUUCUCAGUUCCAAUAUUCUCCAAUACACAGAAGCCAAAACCCCCCAAUUUUUUUCAUUGACAAAAAUCAAAAACGAUACACAUCUCCUAUCUGAUUAUUCAGCUGAAGCUGGGACUAGUGCAAGUGAGAAUUUUGAUAGUGUUGUUGUUGAUUAUGUUGAUCAUAGAGAAGGAGUGUAUUCUCCUAAGAUAGAGAUUGAUCCGGUUCUCGGGGUUGCGAGGCCGAACCGGGAUGAUGAGACUGAACUAGAUUUUGCAUCCAAGCAUGGAGUUAGAAGGAGUGAGAAAGAUAGGUUUUUGAGGUCAAACUAUGCCUUGAAUGGGAUAGUAGGGAACCAAAAUCAGAGGAGCAAAAAUGGGGUUGAACCUGUUUUGGAUUAUGGUGAUAAAAAAAUUGAUUUAAGAGGGAAUGGUGAUACUAAUGGAGUGGUGAAUACUUGGACUUGGAGUCGCUGCGGUUGCUCCAAUGCCAGAGAAAAAGAAGGAAGAGGAAGGUGUAAAUAAAGGAGAUGUUAAGGUGAAUCUGUAUGCAGAAGGGGAGGAGCCUGUUGAUAAAGAAUGGCAGAGACCAUCUGGAAUGAAGUAUGGACUCACAGAAAAUCCUGGUCUUGGUUAGUUUAAAUUGAUUUUACCUGUUUCUCACAUUUAACUUGCAAAGCUAAUUUUGGAUAGUUAUCAAAAUAGUAUGGUUGGUUUAACUUGUAUUUGUAUGACAAAAUUGAUGUCUUAACCUUUGACGCACUUACAUAGACACAAACACUUAACUCAACAUUGACACUUACUCGUCAACAGAGGUAAUAAUUUGAGAAAAUGGAUAAUUAAAUGGAACUGCAUGUAUUAGUGUCAGUUCGGUGUCACACAAAUAGAUGUUAACCUUUAUGUUCUGCAUGUAUCAGUGUCAGUUCGGUGUCACACAAAUAGAUGUUAACCGAGACUGUUCUGAUAUUGACGCAUAUUUGCAACUUGUCCUGCAAAUUGCUACCACCAGAGAAGAAAAAAGUUGUGUUGUGGUAAUCUGGCAUCGUGAAGAAUUACAUGAUAAGUACAUCAAUGGAUGCAACUAACGAACAGCUCCGCAAAGAAUCGGAGGAAAAAAGAGAUUAAGUCAAAACUUACUACAAUGCACUUGAGAAGUAGCCGUGUGCUCUGAAUUGUGCUGCUGGAUCAGUGUUGUGAUAUUAUACUUGGAUGCUUUGCCUCUGCCCUGAUGCUGGUGCAAUGGUACAAAGUUAACAUUAAGCAUAGCAGGCCCCAUCACGUAGCUGCUGUUCUAGAUAAGUGGCCUUCGCCCCCGAAAUUUUUUACGAAGAUUAAUGUUGAUGUUGUCUGCUUCCAGAAUGGAAUUAUAUGUUGGGGCUUGAUAGCUAGAGACCACUCGGGGUCGGUUUUGUAUGCUGCAACAAAUUGUGAAGACAUUGAAGUUUCUCCGUUAGUUGCUGAAAUCAUGGAUGCUGAAGCAGUAGUGAAGUGUGUGUGUGUGUGUGUGUGUGUGUGUGUGUACGGUGUUACUAAACAUGCUGCUAUUGCUGAUUUAGUCUUAGAUUGUUUAGAAAUUCUUGCAAGGCUAGAGAAUGCUAGUGUUAGUUUUGUUAAAAGAGCCUUGUUGGUUUAGAACUUUCUGUUGGUUGUAAGUCUUGGGAAGGCAAGGUUCCUGACCAAAUUAUAUCUUCUCUUUGUAAGGAUUUUCCUAUUUAUCAAUGAAAUUCCUUUACUGUCAAAAAAAUAAAGAAAGAAGAUAUUUGGAUGA